AUGGGCCCAUCGCUCGCCGACGACGCUCACCAUCAGCAUGCUUGCCAUCAUCAAAAUCGCAAACAAAAUUGUGUUGGUUCCAGCAAAAAGAGCAGUUGUAGCAGAAAAAUACGCUGGUUCCAGCAAAAAUCCAAAACGAUGGUAACAAAAAUAAUACAUGUUUGUUCCAGCAAAAAACAAAAUGGUGACAACAAAAAGAAAUUAUGCUUGCAACAAAAAAAGAAAAUGGUUCCAGCAAAAGUACUUGCCGCUUCCAGCAAAACUAUUAAUCAUCGUCACUGGGGUCGUAGCAAAAACAAUCGCUGCUUCCAGCAAAAUAAGUUGCUGGUUCCAGCAAUGAUGGAUCGUCACCCUGGCCGUCGCCGGUUCCAGCAUUAG
RNAcentral lists this ribosomal RNA (378 nucleotides) under Triticum aestivum (bread wheat). RNAcentral describes it as "partial small subunit ribosomal RNA". Lineage: Eukaryota; Viridiplantae; Streptophyta; Magnoliopsida; Poales; Poaceae. The record is from RNAcentral.